This 94-nucleotide transfer RNA is filed under the name Methylobacterium bullatum. RNAcentral's name for it is "tRNA-Val". The record is from RNAcentral. Lineage: Bacteria; Pseudomonadati; Pseudomonadota; Alphaproteobacteria; Hyphomicrobiales; Methylobacteriaceae.
GCGCCAUCUGGCCGAUCAGGGCGGAGCGGCCGACCCUGACGGGCUCGGCACCGGCGCCACGCGGCGCCAGUUCGACCGUUCCGGACAUGACGAC